GACGAACGCUGGCGGCGUGCUUAACACAUGCAAGUCGAACGGAAAGGCCCUGCUUUUGUGGGGUGCUCGAGUGGCGAACGGGUGAGUAACACGUGAGUAACCUGCCCUUGACUUUGGGAUAACUUCAGGAAACUGGGGCUAAUACCGGAUAGGAGCUCCUGCUGCAUGGUGGGGGUUGGAAAGUUUCGGCGGUUGGGGAUGGACUCGCGGCUUAUCAGCUUGUUGGUGGGGUAGUGGCUUACCAAGGCUUUGACGGGUAGCCGGCCUGAGAGGGUGACCGGCCACAUUGGGACUGGGAUACGGCCCAGACUCCUACGGGAGGCAGCAGUGGGGAAUAUUGCACAAUGGGCGGAAGCCUGAUGCAGCAACGCCGCGUGCGGGAUGACGGCCUUCGGGUUGUAAACCGCUUUCGCCGGUGACGAAGCGUGAGUGACGGUAAUGGGUAAAGAAGCACCGGCUAACUACGUG
RNAcentral lists this ribosomal RNA (468 nucleotides) under uncultured bacterium. RNAcentral describes it as "partial 16S ribosomal RNA". It matches the Rfam family "Bacterial small subunit ribosomal RNA", at positions 28 to 507 of the family's 1533-position model. The record is from RNAcentral.